RNAcentral lists this ribosomal RNA (116 nucleotides) under Chinchilla lanigera (long-tailed chinchilla). Lineage: Eukaryota; Metazoa; Chordata; Mammalia; Rodentia; Chinchillidae. The record is from RNAcentral.
AUUUACGGACACACCACCCUGAAUGCACCUACUCUUGUCUGAUCUUGAAAGCUAAGCAAGGUCAGGCCUGGUUAGUGCUUGGAUGGAAAACAAUGGGAAAGUGAAAUGAGUAGACA